ACACAACCCUUCUCUUUUAUACGGGCUUGGGACUGACUAUACAAUAUAGGCGGAGUUAUAAUCAUCCUGCUUCCAAGUUUCAUGACCAAGUUAACACAACGUUGGCCUAUCUCCAUCCAAUUAACUGCUCAAGAGAGAGAAAAGUCCAUGUGGUGUUUGACAUGACGACAAUCCCUGCCUUCUUGAUUGUUCUGGGGUGCCUUUACUUGGUACUGAGGCCAAGGCGACCUAAACCAAAGAUUAAUUAAGAUUUCCGGCCACAAUUAUGAACUUCAAUCAAUUCUUGUUCGGAUUGUUACAACUGUUUCCCCGAGUGUAAUAGUUCAGUCUUCGUGUAAAAGGCAUUAUAGGUUGGGCAUCAAUAUACCCCCCCGAAAACAAAAGGGGCUAAUUGAAAUAAGUAAUAGAGGGCUGCUUUAUAGUUUGGGGAUCAGUUGCCGAAACUAGUGAGAGAAGGGUGACAAUGAGAGAGAGUCGAGGUCAUGAAUGUGUAAACCAUUUUGAUUUUGACCAUAGGACUCACAAAUAUCGGUUGGGCAGGAUUGUUCAUAGGUCUGAUUUGGCUUGAUUUUGUUGAUCAUACUGCUCUAAUCAAAGUAGGAAAUCUAUAGAUAUAUUUGGUUUUGCCUUCCAAA
Molecule: long non-coding RNA, 635 nt
Organism: Neltuma alba
Lineage: Eukaryota; Viridiplantae; Streptophyta; Magnoliopsida; Fabales; Fabaceae
Exons: 2
Source: RefSeq, a predicted model, not a curated record